Molecule: microRNA precursor, 105 nt
Filed under: Medicago truncatula (barrel medic)
Lineage: Eukaryota; Viridiplantae; Streptophyta; Magnoliopsida; Fabales; Fabaceae
Description: miRNA gene31579
Rfam family: MIR2587 microRNA precursor family
Source: RNAcentral
UGUUGUUUUCUUGGUCAUUGUUGUCCGUUCAUAUAACACCUGCAAUUGCUUUGCAGCUUAUGCGAGGGUUAUAUAACGGUCAACAGAGACCUUUGACAUCAAAAA